RNAcentral lists this unclassified non-coding RNA (624 nucleotides) under Leishmania donovani. RNAcentral describes it as "gene:LdHU3.12.0740(CDS-product:vacuolar_ATP_synth ase_subunit_putative)". The record is from RNAcentral. Lineage: Eukaryota; Euglenozoa; Kinetoplastea; Trypanosomatida; Trypanosomatidae.
CUAUCGCCACGCAGUCUCUCUUAGCAACCAUGGCAAAUUCUGUCCGCUACCGCAACGGUGAACAGCGCAUCGUCGGCAUCAUCGGCGACGAAGAUACAGUCACCGGGUUUCUUCUUGCUGGAGUUGGCGACAACCGAGUGAUGCCUAACCAAAGGGAGAAUCCAGGCGAAGGCCAGCAAAGCGGGCUUCCACCAAACUACUAUGUUGUGACCCCAUCGACCCCUCUGUCGGAGAUCGAAGAAGCGUUUACAACGAUGUGUGGACGAAAGGAUAUUGGAAUCAUCAUCAUCUGCCAGCAUAUAGCCAACGAUAUUCGCCAUCUUGUGGAGGAAUACAACACUGUGAUUCCUUGCAUCUUGGAGAUUCCAAGCAAGGGGCAAAAAUAUGACGCCGAAAAAGAUUUUGUGCUGGAGAAGAUCACUCGUGCGCUGGGUAUUCGGUAGCUUACGUACGUCGCCGGUGGUUUUGCAGUGUGUAGGUCAUUUUCGCUUUGUGCUUCUUUCUAUGUGUCCGCUGGGAAGAGGAAGCUGGCGACCAAGGCGUUUCAUGUAUUUUUGGCGGUGCUAUCGACUAUUAGGAUGGUUACUAAACGAUGCCUGGCUUUGCUUUUCAGAGGGGUGAGAG